RNAcentral lists this ribosomal RNA (508 nucleotides) under uncultured bacterium. RNAcentral describes it as "partial 16S ribosomal RNA". It matches the Rfam family "Bacterial small subunit ribosomal RNA", at positions 28 to 523 of the family's 1533-position model. The record is from RNAcentral.
GACGAACGCUGGCGGCGCGCUUAACACAUGCAAGUCGAGCGGGAACCGGGCCUUCGGGCCCGGGGACAGCGGCGAACGGGUGAGCAACACGUGGGUAAUCUGCCCUCGGUACUGGGAUAGCCCGGGGAAACCCGGAUUAAUACCGGAUAGCCCUUCGAGCCUUCGGGCUCGCAGGCAAAGGUAGCUUCGGCCUCCGACCGAGGAUGAGCCCGCGGCGGAUUAGCUUGUUGGUGGGGUAACGGCCUACCAAGGCGACGAUCCGUAGCUGGUCUGAGAGGACGAUCAGCCACACUGGGACUGAGACACGGCCCAGACUCCUACGGGAGGCAGCAGUGGGGAAUCUUGCCCAAUGGGCGAAAGCCUGAGGCAGCGACGCCGCGUGCGGGAAGAAGGCCCUCGGGUUGUAAACCGCUUUCAGGAGGGACGAAGCCACUCGGGUUAAUAGCCUAGAGGGUGACGGUACCUCCAGAAGAAGCCCCGACUAACUACGUGCCAGCCGCCGCCGUAA